RNAcentral lists this ribosomal RNA (466 nucleotides) under uncultured bacterium. RNAcentral describes it as "partial 16S ribosomal RNA". It matches the Rfam family "Bacterial small subunit ribosomal RNA", at positions 28 to 507 of the family's 1533-position model. The record is from RNAcentral.
GACGAACGCUGGCGGUGUGCUUAACACAUGCAAGUCGAACGGUAAGGCCCUUUCGGGGGUACACGAGUGGCGAACGGGUGCGUAACACGUGAGUAACCUGCCCUCAUCUCUGGGAUAACAGUCGGAAACGGUUGCUAAUACUGGAUAUGAGCUUGCAAGGCAUCUUGUGGGUUGGAAAGAUUUUUUUGGUUGGGGAUGGACUCGCGGCCUAUCAGCUUGUUGGUGAGGUAGUGGCUCACCAAGGCUUCGACGGGUAGCCGGCCUGAGAGGGCGACCGGCCACAUUGGGACUGAGAUACGGCCCAAACUCCUACGGGAGGCAGCAGUGGGGAAGAUUGCACAAUGGACGGAAGUCGGAUGCAGCAACGCCGCGUGCGGGAUGACGGCCUUCGGGUUGUAAACCGCUUUCAAUUGUGACGAAGCUUUUUGUGACGGUAGCAGUAGAAGAAGCACCGGCUAACUACGUG